This 149-nucleotide unclassified non-coding RNA is filed under the name uncultured Mortierella. RNAcentral's name for it is "sequence contains ITS1". The record is from RNAcentral. Lineage: Eukaryota; Fungi; Mortierellomycota; Mortierellomycetes; Mortierellales; Mortierellaceae.
UAAUAAAGUGUUUUAUGGCACUUUUUAAAAAUCCAUAUCCACCUUGUGUGCAAUGUUAGAUCUCGUCAAUCUUGGCGAGGUUUUUAUACAUCAACUCAUUCUUUAACUAAUUUGUCUGAAAAAUAUUAUGAAUACUUAAUUCUAAAAUA